GACGAAGGAUGCAAGCGUUAUCCGGAUUCAUUGGGUUUAAAGGGUGCGUAGGCGGAACGAUAAGUCAGUGGUGAAAGCCUGCAGCUUAACUGCAGAACUGCCAUUGAUACUGUCGAUCUUGAGUAUAUUUGAUGUGGGCGGUAUGUGUCAUGUAGCGGUGAAAUGCUUAGAUAUGACACAGAACACCGAUUGCGAAGGCAGCUCACAAAACUAUAACUGACGCUGAGGCACGAAAGCGUGGGGAGCAAACAGG
RNAcentral lists this ribosomal RNA (253 nucleotides) under uncultured bacterium. RNAcentral's name for it is "partial 16S ribosomal RNA". It matches the Rfam family "Bacterial small subunit ribosomal RNA", at positions 524 to 776 of the family's 1533-position model. The record is from RNAcentral.